GCCGCGCCGCUGCCGCGCCCGGCGCUCGGCCGGCUGCUGGGCGAGCCGACCAGCGGGUUGCUGCACACGUUCACGAAGCAGCGGUGCUCCCCGUCCAGGCUGGUACGCAGCACGUGGCCCGGCUCCGGGUGCACGAACCGCACCUCCACCCCGCGCUCCCGCUCCAGCGCUGUGAUCUCCUCCUCGUAGCGCCUCCGGUUCUCAGGGUCGGUGAUCUCCGAGGCAUACUCGGAGAACAUUCGGCGGAACUCUGGGUCCUGAAAGGCGGAGGUGAGCCGCUGCACCUCCUCUCCGCUCAGAUCCAAGUCCUCCAGCGCUGAGGAGGCCGCCGCCUUGGCCAUGGUGCCUCACUCCGCCCCUCACCAGAGCCCGGUGAAGGAUCAGCCCGAACCUAAGAUGCGCUUUGGGAACUAGCAGAAGUGAUCAGCCUAGGAAGGUCCUAAAGUCAAUCAUAUCUUCAGAUACUGAAGCAGCUUGAACAUUCCAGAGUCAUUUCAAAGUGCUGUAGAAAAAUUAAAUAAUCAAGUGCACUGUAAUGAAAUUUCAUUCUUCAGGCUUGGACUCUGGACAUUUGGGCAGUUUCUACAAACCACAAUUCUCAAAGGAGAAGCAUCAAGAAGGUAAAGAAAUGGCUCCAGGAUCUGAAAGCAAUUCCCAAAGAGGAAGUGCACAGUGUGUGACUUUGCUACAUUGAAAGGAAAAAUACUCAUUUGAUUGUA
Molecule: long non-coding RNA, 719 nt
Organism: Peromyscus leucopus (white-footed mouse)
Lineage: Eukaryota; Metazoa; Chordata; Mammalia; Rodentia; Cricetidae
Exons: 2
Source: RefSeq, a predicted model, not a curated record